Potamilus streckersoni is the source of this 73-nucleotide non-coding RNA. The record is from the annotation of a GenBank genome assembly. NCBI's taxonomy places the organism in Eukaryota, Metazoa, Mollusca, Bivalvia, Unionida, Unionidae.
GAUCCGGUGGCCUAGUGGGUAGAGCAUCCGCUUCGGAUGCAAGAGAUCGUGGGUUCUAUCCCCGGUCGAGUCA